GAUAAACGCUGGCGGCGCACAUAAGACAUGCAAGUCGAACGGACUUAAUCGAUUCUUUUAGAUUCGAAGCGGUUAGUGGCGGACUGGUGAGUAACACGUAAGCAACCUGCCUAUUAGAGGGGAAUAACAGUGAGAAAUCACUGCUAAAACCGCAUAUGCCGUGAACAUCGCAUGAUGAAAACGGGAAAAGAGCAAUCUGCUAAUAGAUGGGCUUGCGUCUGAUUAGCUAGUUGGUGUGGUAAAGGCAUACCAAGGCAACGAUCAGUAGCCGGACUGAGAGGUUGAACGGCCACAUUGGGACUGAGAUACGGCCCAGACUCCUACGGGAGGCAGCAGUCGGGAAUAUUGCGCAAUGGAGGAAACUCUGACGCAGUGACGCCGCGUAUGGGAAGAAGGUUUUCGGAUUGUAAACCAUUUUAGACAAGGAAGAAACAAGACAGUACU
This 444-nucleotide ribosomal RNA is filed under the name uncultured bacterium. RNAcentral describes it as "bacterial SSU rRNA". It matches the Rfam family "Bacterial small subunit ribosomal RNA", at positions 28 to 479 of the family's 1533-position model. The record is from RNAcentral.